RNAcentral lists this long non-coding RNA (480 nucleotides) under Notechis scutatus (mainland tiger snake). Its description in RNAcentral is "lncRNA (ENSNSUG00000020383.1)". Lineage: Eukaryota; Metazoa; Chordata; Lepidosauria; Squamata; Elapidae. The record is from RNAcentral.
CCUGAAGCUCGCGCUGCCCGGUCGGGCUGCCUGGAGGCGGAGCGGCGCGCUCGGCCGGCGCUGAAGAGCUCGCGGGCGGCCGCGUCCUUGGCCCGGUUGCUUCGACGACGCUUCCCCGCGAGAAGCGGCUCCGGGUCCCGUCCUCCAGAAAUCCGGAGCUUUCCGGCCAAACUUCAAGAAGCUGCAGGCCACCAGCGCAUGGCUUCCAUCCCUGGACCUUUCUUUCCCCCCAAGGGAUUCCCUGGAGGGAGGGGCCUCCUGAGGGCCAGGCUGUCAUUUAACCUUUUGUCGCGUCUUCAUUUUUGUUCCUAGCCCAGCAGGAACCGCCAGUUCUGCAGCCUCAUGAAUAGAACCGAGCAUUUGAUCUGAAAUUGUUUUUCAAUAGCUGUAUCUUCUUCUCUGUUAUUGCUUUACAUGGCAUAUGUUUGUACAAUAUUGAAAAUCAAUAAAAGUACAAAAAUGUUUCGUCUUCUUUUUAAA